This 78-nucleotide ribosomal RNA is filed under the name Enterococcus faecium. Its description in RNAcentral is "partial 16S ribosomal RNA". It matches the Rfam family "Bacterial small subunit ribosomal RNA", at positions 1 to 77 of the family's 1533-position model. Lineage: Bacteria; Bacillati; Bacillota; Bacilli; Lactobacillales; Enterococcaceae. The record is from RNAcentral.
UUUUUAUGAGAGUUUGAUCCUGGCUCAGGACGAACGCUGGCGGCGUGCCUAAUACAUGCAAGUCGAACGCUUCUUUUU